Molecule: long non-coding RNA, 3134 nt
Organism: Pangasianodon hypophthalmus (striped catfish)
Lineage: Eukaryota; Metazoa; Chordata; Actinopteri; Siluriformes; Pangasiidae
Exons: 2
Source: RefSeq, a predicted model, not a curated record
ACUAGGUGUUUGGUUGUAGAAAAAGUGCUCCAUGCUUCUAACCACGUCUGACAAACCUGUUGCUUGCAUAUGUCUAAGAAAAGUUCGCUAGGAGAUUUCACUGCUAAUUACAGGUUUAUGAUGAACUUCUAAAAUGAAAAUGUAACGUUGAAUAAUUGAUUUAUUCACCACUGUUUUUUUUUAUUCCCCAAGGUCUUCAUGGUGAAACAGAGAAAAGAAAAGGAAAAAACAGGUUUGUGUUUUUCUAUUAUCAGGUGGUCUGUAACUUUUUUUAAUGUGCUAAAGAUUGUCAAAAUUGUGUUUAAAUAUUCAGUAGCUAGCAUGUUAACUGUGCUAUUGUAUGUUUAUCAGUUUAUUAAUUUGAAGGUUAUUAAAUGAAGUACAUUUAUUUUUAGAAAAAAAAAACCUUAUAAAAAAAUAGAUUUUUUUUUUUAACAAAACCACACUUGUCACAAUUAUUGGUACUCUUAGAAAUACUUAUGAACAAAAUGUAGCAUGUUCCCAUUUCUAUUUUAGCUUUUAAGGUUUACCUGAGUGUUUAGGAACUGUUAAGUGAUCAUCCAUGACUUCCUGAUGUCAGGUUAAUGCCGAUAGCCAUGUGGGACUACAGCAUAAACUAAGUCACUAGAUCAUGAACACCUGAACCACAUUUAUGCACAAUGAGCGCCAGUAUUUAAGUCACAUUUGUAUAGCACUCCUUGUCUAGUGUCUGUUGUGAGUAGUGUUGUUGUAUGUUGUCGUAUCCAUGCCAUGUUCCUCUCAUGGGGGCAGUCGCAGCCUAAUGGAUAGAGAGUCGGACUUGCAACCUGAAGGUGAACCUGAAGGUUGUGGGUUCGAGUCUCAGGUCCGGCAGGGAUUGUAGGUGGGGGGAGUGAAUGACCCGCGCUCUCUCCCACCCUCAAUACCACGACUGAGGUGAGACCCUUGAGCAAGGCACUGAACCCCCAACUGCUCCCUGGGCACCGCAGCAAAAGAGGCUGCCCACUGCUCCGGGUGUGUGUUCACGGUGUGUGUGUUUGUGUGUUCACUGCUGUGUGUGUGUGCACUUGGAUGGGUUAAAUGCAGAGCACAAAUUCCAAGUAUGGGUCACCAUACUUGGCCACAAGUCACUUCACUUCAUGCUUGUUUGGUUUGUGUUUAGUCCUAGUCUUUUUUCACAUGUCUCAUGUGAAAUACUUUUAAUGAAAUACUCUGCAUUUGCAUCUGUCUCUGACUAAUCUGUGACACCUGACACAGAAGCUAAUUUUCCUUAGUCAUUUAUCAGGGAGAUUAAUACACAAAAGAAAUGAGACAAAAGUGUGCUGAGAUUCAUUGUUCAAACUAUUUUGAAGAUGUGGCAGAAGAAAAGCCUUUUCUAAACACAAACGUAAGUGCCUGGAGUGUACUAGAUACUAACUGAACUCUGACAGGAACCAGGUUCUAUGGUUGGAGGAGACAAAAAUAGACAUUUUUGGCAUCAAGCACUCAAAGAAAGUGAUAUAGAAAAGAACCAAAUUCCCACUGUUAAGUAUGGUGGAGGAUCUGUGAUGAUGUGGGACUGCUGUUCCAAUGCUUCUGAGAACAUUGUUAGGACACAUGGCAUCAUGCACUCCAUGAAAUACCAUGAGAUUUUAAGUGAAAAUCUGGAUAUUUUAAAUUGAAAAUGUACAACUGGGUUGUGCUUGGAUCUUCCAGCAGGAUAGCGAUACAAAACAACUUCCAAAUCCACAUUAAAAAUGACCUAAACCCCAUUGAAAACCUGUGGGAUGAGCUGAAGAGGAGAGUCCACGAGAGAGGACCAAGGACUCUACAGCAUGCUGAGAGCAUUGAGGCUUUGUCUCAGAUUCCAGUCUCAUCAAGUGUUAUAGGAAAAGACUCACUGCUAUAAUGUUGGCAGAGGGAGGUUUUACAAAGUACCAAAUACAGUGGUGCCAAUAAUUGUGACAUAUAUGAUUGUGUGUUUUUUUUAAAUCUCAUUUUUAAUUAGGUUUUCCUUAAUAUUUUCAGUGUAAGAUAAAGUCAGAUAAUUCUGAUGCUGACUAUAGUUUAUGUAAUAAUGCAGCAUGUUUAAGGUCUACAGGAAGAGAUACAGGAAGUUCAGUUGCAAUUGCAGGUAUGGGUGUUACUAUGUAUAUUUCCUCAGAACCAGAAGGCAUGCUGAAAAGAUCAUUACAGUUUGAAAAUGAAGUCCAUCUGGAGCAGUGAGGUUUCUGGUAGCUGGAAAAAAGUCUAAAACCAAAAAAAUUAAAUAAAUAAAUGAAUAGUGUUUAGUGAAAACAUAGCUGGAAGUGGGGGGUGAUGAAACAUCAGAAACAUCUGUAGGUAGCUAUAAACUGUGACUUUUGGAUGGCCUUGACUAUCCAAAAGACAAAAAGUCAAAAUUUACUUAAAACGGUUAAAUCUACUUAAUAUACUAAUUGUAUGUAUAUUAUGUUAUAUGAAUGUUAUUAUGGACCUGCUUGAUCUAUCCUGAUGCCCUACUUCUGGUUGGAUUUCUCAUCAUUUGGAAACCAUUUGCUGCUGCUGAGGAUGGCCCCACACGGACAGCCUAAAGUGACGUGGCAGUGGUGAGCUUUGUGGGCCCAAUCAUAUAACAAAGGACAGAUCCUGUAAGAAGCUUGCAUGUUAAAUCAUGAACUAAAUAAAAGAAAUGCCCAAGAUUUGCUUGUGUUUCCUUUUUUGACUUGUUCACCUGUCAGAUUUAAUACAGACACAAAAUGAUAAUAAUGGUAUGAUUAUUUAUCUAUCACUGAUAUAAUCUUAUUCAUUCACUACUAGAUACAGUAUAAAUCCUACAUGUUGUCUGCUUAGCCUUUGACUUGAGCACCAACAAGAUUAACCUGGGAUAAAGGAAAUAUUUUAGCACAUCCUUACUGAAAGGCAGGUGAGCGAAUGAUGUCUAGCUUCAGUCUACAAGACGAUUGCUCACAAUUUUUACCCAUAAAUUCCAAGUUUCCCUGGAUUAAUAUGUGGAAUCAUUUCCAUUUCCCUGAUAUUACAUUCAUCUCCUUUGGCACAGCCUCUCUUCAUCUUUGAGUUUGUCAAGGCUAUGUCCUGUCCUCUAAUUAUCUUUUGGCAGAUAAUUACAACUGAUUAAUUAUUGUUGAAGGCUUAUUAGGAGAAGCUGUUUUUGAAAGGGUUUUUUUUUUUAUUUU